GUUUUAUGAGCACUUACGUUUCCUCGGUGGGUUCGCCCACCGAUUGGACCACUUAAACCCUUUGCAGUUUUGCAAUCAGCGUCUGAAAAACUUAAUAGUUACAACUUUCAACAACGGAUCUCUUGGUUCUGGCAUCGAUGAAGAACGCAGCGAAAUGCGAUAAGUAGUGUGAAUUGCAGAAUUCAGUGAAUCAUCGAAUCUUUGAACGCACAUUGCGCCCCUUGGUAUUCCAUGGGGCAUGCCUGUUCGAGCGUCAUUUGUACCUUCAAGCUUUGCUUGGUGUUGGGUGUUUGUCUCGCCUUUGCGUGUAGACUCGCCUUAAAACAAUUGGCAGCCGGCGUAUUGAUUUCGGAGCGCAGUACAUCUCGCGCUUUGCACUCAUAACGACGACGUCCAAAAGUACAUUUU
This 408-nucleotide ribosomal RNA is filed under the name uncultured Phoma. RNAcentral describes it as "eukaryotic LSU rRNA". The stretch from base 103 to 256 matches the Rfam family "5.8S ribosomal RNA". Lineage: Eukaryota; Fungi; Ascomycota. The record is from RNAcentral.